This 3464-nucleotide long non-coding RNA is filed under the name Struthio camelus australis. Its description in RNAcentral is "lncRNA (ENSSCUG00000006290.1)". Lineage: Eukaryota; Metazoa; Chordata; Aves; Struthioniformes; Struthionidae. The record is from RNAcentral.
CAGCAACUGCAGAUAGGCAAGGCACGUGUCAUGGGCUCAAGGAGAUCUGCCAGCCCCCAUGGCUGCUCCGCUGCACCCAGCUGCAUCAGCUGCUUAAGAAAACAUCACUGAUGAUGCAUCUUUAAAUUACUCAUCAUGUUCCUAAUCCUUUUAGAUACAUACAUGACAUAUCUCAAGUAUCCUGUAAUCCCAGCAUUUUUACUUUACAUAUUUAUCUAGACUCUUCUGUAAUUCUCAUACUUCAUUUAUCCUUUUCUUCAAGACAUAGAAUAUCUGUUUGCCAGAGUUAUGCUGAUACAAAUGGCCGGCCUGUCUGAGGACUUGGUGAAAUUUUGCCAUCAAAAGCAACCAAAAAAUUGAGUCAUUAAAUUUGCCACGGCACGAAGGAGAGGAAAAAGUCCGUUGAGAUAUGAAAGAGUAUUCAUAAAUAAUGAAAAGAUUCUUCGUCUGUUGUAACAAGUAUGACGACUUCCAGUGAAAGGAUGAAAAUCUGGCCCAAGCUGAGUCCAUUGCAAAAUUCCCAUUGGCCUCAAACGGGCUGGAGUUUCACCUGAGUAACAAAAGUGAUGAGAAGAUGAGGAUUGACAUACUGUUUUGGAAAGAUUGCAAGCUUUUUGGAGCAAAAAGAAAACACAGGAAUAAAAUUCUCUUCUUUGCCCUGCUUUUGGCUGAGGCCUCAAGAUACCACUGUAAUAAAAUCCAGUGGUUUGAUGCAAAGUGCCACUGAAGAAGAGCAGUUUCCGCUGGAUCUGCGUGCUGCAUUAAUGCUCGUGUUGAUUGAGAACCACAACCUCAGCCACUCAACUCUGGGGAACUGGCUGGUUUAAUGUUUAUGUGCUCUUGAGAUGUGAAGCAUUCUCUUCUGCUCUGAACCUGGAACUCCCCUUCUUUGAACUUGAUGCGCUUCUGGAUGUGUGAAUGAAGAUUGCUGCCCUGGAGCGGAUAAAUAUUUUUCCAUCUGUGUUUUUUUUCUGUAAGAGUACACUGAAUGUUUUUGCUUCAAACACUUUACUCUUUCUUUUUUUCAUUAAAGAGGAAAUGAAUAGAGACUUUUGACGUGAAUCUGAAUCAUGGACUUGUGUUGCCUUAUAAUGGUUGUACUUCAUGUACCUGUAUCCUUCCUAGCACUAGAGCCAGAUGUUAUAGACACGUGUGUUGUGGAAGACCCCUAGGACUACUCACUGGCUUCACUGCUGUGGUGCAUUGGAGGAACUUUUUUUUCUCCUCCUGCCUUUUCUUCUAACCCAUCUUGUAGUGUUGACUGCCAGAGUCUAUACAAGUUACUUUGACAAUGUUUUCCUCAGUGUGUCAUGCUUAUUACUAAGCUGACAUGUGGUUAGUCCAGCAAGAGGGCUGUCAUUGCUAGCCAAUACAGUAUUAUAUUUGCAGCCCUGAUAGGUUUUAGUAAUGGACUUGUUUCCACCUACUAACUGAUUGUAGAAAGGAGGGCGAUUAUCCUAGGUGGCCAAGAUAUCCUGGGCUAUUGCUGGGCUUCCAGUCCUGUUUGUUCACCCACGCUUUUCUUGUGGGUCGUUCAAACUAGUUCUGCAAACUGAACAUAAGGAACGUGUCAUGGGCUUUGGAGAGAUAUAAAACCAUCAAGGACAUGCUGAGAGGUCAGGUAAGUGAGAAGCCAAGCCUGUGGUGGUGAUAUACAUGCUUUCUGCUGCUCUACCACCAGCACUGGGCGACAGAAAUUUCUAGUUCAAGCAUAUGAAAUGGUCUUUGGGAAUCAAAUAGUUCACCGUCUCUGCCAUUUCUGUUUCUGUCUUCAGCUGAUACGUGACCUGCUUGUUUCUCGUGUAGCUCAGAACCUGCCUAGGAAAUUCCUCAGGCCUUUUCUUAGGCUUGAUUCUGCCCGCUAACCAUGGCCUUCUCCAGAAACUUUGCAAGUUAAUGGAAACGCUUCAUCUCUUGGCAUGAUGUUGAAGGAAUCCUCAGUUGAGCUGAAUUAAGAUGUUUUCACAAGGUGGUGGUGGAAUAGAAAUGUGCUGGAUCAUUCAUAUAAAAGCUAGUUAGGAAUAGCCCUCCUUAAAAUUAUUCCCAAUUACCACUUUCUGUUUUUUUCUUUAAGCUAUUUAGCUUCUGACUUAAAAUAAUUAAAUCUGCAUUACAGUCCUAAACUUGAGAGAGGAAGAGCAUGAGAGAAGAUAUUGCAAAAGUGAAUGCUGACUUCAAGCAGUAAGCAUUUAAGGCCCCCAUUAGGGACCUUAAGGCAUUUUAUGAGAUGUUUGUGGAGCAAAAUCCUUUCUGUGAAGGUUUCACUGGGGGACAAAGCGUGUGUGUGUAUGUACCUUUUAGUUUUAUAGUGCUAUCUAGAGCAGUUGCUAUUUACAGUAAUUGUCCAGAAUUCUGCUCAUCAACUUAAUCCUUAAAGUAGCACAUUUUAUAGCAGUACCACACGAAAAAUUUCACACUGAAUUUGUCUCAGUAUGUAUAGUUUUACUGAAAUCAAUUACCAGGUAUUUUUCUGGAUGGUCUGCUUAGAGUGAAGAUGUUACAAACAACACACUUUCUCAGAAGUACCAUUUUGGGUUGUAUGACUAUGCAGGCUUUGAUUCGCUAUAAUAGCAUCUCACUUACAGCGUAUGGUAAAGCAAUUCUUAGCACUUGCAUAGCAUUUAAGAUCUCCUAAGCAAGUGAAAUCUUCAACUAAUCCUUCUAAGCAGUCCUGUGGAAAUAUUUCGUGUUUGUGUUUUGCAAUAACGCGGAAUGAGAAUUCCCUGUGACUUGCCACAGGCUACGCAGCAAGCAAGCGGUAGAACAGGGAUUAAGAUUUGAAAACUUGGCUCAAUCCCACACUCAACCCACUAGAUAUCACUAUCUCUUCUAAUCAAACCUGUGAAACUACACUAUCUUACACACCAUCUGUUGUGCAAAUUUCCUUGGGGAACUUCAAGGCUUUUCUUCCCCUACACUUCAGACUCUCUGGAAACUGAUUUAAAAAAAACAAAAAAAGUAAUGCUGAACCAGAAUGGAUACAUAUGACUUAUUCCUGUGAUGUAUUAGUCUGAAUGUUGGAAUUAAUUUAUUAUUGAGGAAAAUGAAAGGUUGAUAUAGGACGUUUCAGACUUUUUUUUCUUUGUUAGGCAAAAUUUUUUUUUCCAUGAUGAAAACAAAGGGGAAGAAACAACUUUAUUUCUGUCUUCCAGCUGCCUCUGUCACAAGCCUUUUGAUUCAGUGAUUUACCAGAAUUUACCCAUUGGCACAACAGUUAUUUUUAGACCUGUUGCUAGAUUUCAACUAAAGCUCACUGAUGUUUACGAAUUAUUCAUUUAAGCACUGAUUUGAAAAUAAUAAUAAUAUAUUUCUCUCUAACAGUGUGUCAGGAAAGCAUAAAAUGUAGCCAUUCUGGAAGCAGUAAUUGCAGGCAACAGUUUAUUGGGAGAUAAUUCAAGUUUGAAUGACAUCAAAAAAUACAAGCCACAAAUAAACAAAAGCAGGAGUUGAAAUGCCUGCUCCCC